RNAcentral lists this unclassified non-coding RNA (307 nucleotides) under Hevea brasiliensis (rubber tree). Lineage: Eukaryota; Viridiplantae; Streptophyta; Magnoliopsida; Malpighiales; Euphorbiaceae. The record is from RNAcentral.
GGAGGAUUCGGAGCAUGAGAAGAAGAAGAACUACAUCAACAAGAAGGGGGCGUUGGGUUGGGUUGAAUGGUUGAGAGGUUGGAUGUACGUCAUUCACGAGAUGCUCUUCCAGAGAAUCAUGGCCAGCCAUCUGCAGAAUCCUAUGCCUCUCCCUCCCGUCAACGAUCUUACUUGCAUUGUUACCGGAUCCACCAGCGGUAUUGGCCGCGAGAUUGCCAGGCAACUGGCAGAAUCAGGGGCACAUGUUGUCAUGGCAGUCAGGAACCCAAAGGCUGCUCUCGACUUGAUUCAGAAGUGGCAAAAUGAA